GUCUUUGUCUGAUGAUGUCAUAUGCCUUGGACUCAACGAACGUUAUCGUUACACACUGGAUCGGAAAGUUAUGGUGAUCUGCACUGGUUUCAAACCUCUUUAACUUAAGCUUCAAGUUGGCUUUUGAAAGCAUCGUUGUUUUAACCUUCUUCAUCAACACCAUGAAAAGUGAACUGGAACUUGUGGUCUGCGUGAUUUGUUGAACUAGAAGACCAUGGAAAAAUGGCGGAGAUAUUCCCAAGUCACUUCUGAUUGUGCUGAGAGCUCAACAGUGGCAAACUUUGACAAAUUGACAUUCGCCAGUUGGCCUCAUUAAAUUCCAUUGCUGUCUGCCUAAUAAUGUCAGUGACCAAGAUUGCAGAUGGUCUCCUUGAUAUCCAGGAAGUCCAGGAGGUAGCUUCCGGUUUUGACCAUCGAGAGGAACUGGACAACUGUGUUAACUCCACUGGCGUUGGGACAGGAUUCCUCUGUCUGAUGCAGCUGAAAGUGUUCUCCAGGCAAUCCUCGUACAAGCUACUGUUGAGAAUGCACUUCUGUACCUGGCUUACUUCCAGGAUUAAUGUUGCAGCAGUCACCACUACGUUUUGAACUGGUAUCCAGCUGCCCUUGUGACCAAUCUUCAGGCCACGAAAAAGAUGGAAGGUGUCCCAAUGCAAGUUUAUGGCUUUCUCUAACUCAUUCUCUUUCAAUCUGCUUAGGGCAAUUACGACAAGGUCGAACCGGUGGUCUACUUCCUCAAGGAACCAUGAUGUUUUCAGGGAGGACUGUGACCGUUUCUCCUCCUCAACCAGGUGUUUCAGGACAGCACUGGUCACUCUACUAAAGACGUGCAUGGCAGGUUGGACACUGAAAUGGGAGUGGGUUGGCAGUCAUGAAGGAUAAAUGAGUAUGGUUGUCUCUGUGUUAAUGGCCGUUCACAUCAGGAACGAUUACUAUAAUAAGUAUCCUCACUGACCAAUUAAGAAAAGUCUGUCCUUGAAUAUGAUAGCUAAAAUGUUAUGGAUUUUGGUUGGCUGUCAGCUUUGUACUGUUCUCAACAUCGCUCAGAAAGUCAUCCCCAACAACAUCUGUCUUCAUGUUAUCGUUACAGUUUAUGUGUGGAUGUAAGGUGGUUGGCUGUGUGUGGUGGGUCUUGCUGGAGAUGGCCUCUUGCUUUGGUCUAUGGUUAUGACUUAAUGUGGCAGCUGUGAAUGUGAAGUUGUUCCAAGUAUAAACUGAAUGUGACCUACUCUGUUCUCUCCCUCCAUUCUC
Molecule: long non-coding RNA, 1251 nt
Organism: Alosa sapidissima (American shad)
Lineage: Eukaryota; Metazoa; Chordata; Actinopteri; Clupeiformes; Clupeidae
Exons: 3
Source: RefSeq, a predicted model, not a curated record